UAAUGGUGACAGUUGUUAAAGCGGGGGAUCGUAAGACCUCGCGUCUGAAGAGGAGCCUGCGGCAGAUUAGCUAGUUGGUAAGGUAAUGGCUUACCAAGGCGAUGAUCUGUAGCCGGCCUGAGAGGGCGGUCGGCCACACUGACACUGACAUACGGGUCAGACUCCUACGGGAGGCAGCAGUCGGGAAUUUUGGGCAAUGGGCGAAAGCCUGACCCAGCAACGCCGCGUGAAGGAUGAAAUCCCUCGGGAUGUAAACUUCGCAAGAACGGGAAGAAUAAGC
RNAcentral lists this ribosomal RNA (280 nucleotides) under uncultured soil bacterium. RNAcentral's name for it is "partial 16S ribosomal RNA". It matches the Rfam family "Bacterial small subunit ribosomal RNA", at positions 186 to 454 of the family's 1533-position model. The record is from RNAcentral.